This 108-nucleotide unclassified non-coding RNA is filed under the name uncultured fungus. RNAcentral's name for it is "sequence contains ITS1". The record is from RNAcentral. Lineage: Eukaryota; Fungi.
CCGAGUCUUCGGCCGAACGGCCGAGCCUCUCACACCGUGCGUAUGCAUGUCAAAAGUUUUAAAGCACAAAGGACAAUGUGUCGAAACAACCAAAGCAAACUAAAGCAA